Molecule: ribosomal RNA, 472 nt
Filed under: uncultured bacterium
Lineage: Bacteria
Description: bacterial SSU rRNA
Rfam family: Bacterial small subunit ribosomal RNA
Source: RNAcentral
CUACCCACUCCUACGGGAGGCAGCAGUGGGGAAUAUUGCACAAUGGGCGCAAGCCUGAUGCAGCCAUGCCGCGUGUAUGAAGAAGGCCUUCGGGUUGUAAAGUACUUUCAGCAGUGAGGAAGGUGGGUAUGUUAAUAGCAUAUUCAUUUGACGUUAGCUGCAGAAGAAGCACCGGCUAACUCCGUGCCAGCAGCCGCGGUAAUACGGAGGGUGCGAGCGUUAAUCGGAAUUACUGGGCGUAAAGCGCAUGCAGGUGGUUUGUUAAGUCAGAUGUGAAAGCCCGGGGCUCAACCUCGGAAUUGCAUUUGAAACUGGCAAACUAGAGUACUGUAGAGGGGGUAGAAUUUCAGGUGUAGCGGUGAAAAUGCGUAGAGAUCUGAAGGAAUACCGGUGGCGAAGGCGGCCCCCUGGACAGAUACUGACACUCAGAUGCGAAAGCGUGGGGAGCAAACAGGAUUAGAUACCCUGGUAG